Molecule: ribosomal RNA, 496 nt
Filed under: uncultured bacterium
Lineage: Bacteria
Description: partial 16S ribosomal RNA
Rfam family: Bacterial small subunit ribosomal RNA
Source: RNAcentral
GAUGAACGCUGGCGGCGUGCCUAAUACAUGCAAGUCGAGCGAACAGACGAGGUGCUUGCUCCUCAGAGGUUAGUGACGGAUGGGAGCGUACCACGUGGAUAACCACCCUAUCAGAAUGGGAUUACUUAGGGAAACUGGAGUUAGUACCGGAUAAAAUAUUGAACCGAAUGGUUAAAUAGCGACUGAUGGUCUAGUUGUCACUGAUAGAUGGUACCGAGCCGAAUUAGCUAGUUGGUAAGGUAACGGUUUACCAAUGCAAUGAUGCGUAGCCACCCCGGGAAGGAUAACUGGCACGCCGGAAACGAGGCACGGUCCAAACUGCAACGGGAGGCAGCAGUGGGGAAUCUUCCGCAAUGGGCGAAAGCCUGACGGAGCAUCGCCGCGUGAGUGAUGAAGGUCUUCGGAUCGUAAAUCUCUGUUAUUAGGGAAGAACAAAUGUGUAAGUAACGAUGCACGUCUGAACGGUACCUAGUCAGAAAGCCACGGCUAACUACGU